This 508-nucleotide ribosomal RNA is filed under the name uncultured bacterium. RNAcentral's name for it is "partial 16S ribosomal RNA". It matches the Rfam family "Bacterial small subunit ribosomal RNA", at positions 28 to 507 of the family's 1533-position model. The record is from RNAcentral.
GACGAACGCUGGCGGCGUGCCUAAUACAUGCAAGUCGAACGCUUCUUUCCUCCCGAGUGCUUGCACUCAAUUGGAAAGAGGAGUGGCGGACGGGUGAGUAACACGUGGGUAACCUACCCAUCAGAGGGGGAUAACACUUGGAAACAGGUGCUAAUACCGCAUAACAGUUUAUGCCGCAUGGCAUAAGAGUGAAAGGCGCUUUCGGGUGUCGCUGAUGGAUGGACCCGCGGUGCAUUAGCUAGUUGGUGAGGUAACGGCUCACCAAGGCCACGAUGCAUAGCCUACCUGAGAGGGUGAUCGGCCACACUGGAACUGUGACACGGCCCAGACUCCUACGGGAGGCAGCAGUAGGGAAUCUUCAGCAAUGGACGAAAGUCUGACCGAGCAACGCCGCGUGAGUGAAGAAGGUUUUCGGAUCGUAAAACUCUGUUGUUAGAGAAGAACAAGGACGUUAGUAACUGAACGUCCCCUGACGGUAUCUAACCAGAAAGCCACGGCUAACUACGUG